RNAcentral lists this ribosomal RNA (253 nucleotides) under uncultured bacterium. Its description in RNAcentral is "partial 16S ribosomal RNA". It matches the Rfam family "Bacterial small subunit ribosomal RNA", at positions 524 to 776 of the family's 1533-position model. The record is from RNAcentral.
GACAGAGGGUGCAAACGUUGUUCGGAAUUACUGGGCGUAAAGCGCGUGUAGGCGGCUUUGCAAGUCGGGCGUGAAAGCCCUCAGCUCAACUGAGGAAGUGCGCCCGAAACUGCAGAGCUUGAGUACCGGAGAGGAUGGCGGAAUUCCCCAAGUAGAGGUGAAAUUCGUAGAUAUGGGGAGGAACACCGGUGGCGAAGGCGGCCAUCUGGACGGAUACUGACGCUGAGACGCGAAAGCGUGGGGAGCAAACAGG